This 81-nucleotide transfer RNA is filed under the name Rickettsiales bacterium. RNAcentral describes it as "tRNA-Tyr". It matches the Rfam family "tRNA". Rfam says of the family: Transfer RNA (tRNA) molecules are approximately 80 nucleotides in length. Their secondary structure includes four short double-helical elements and three loops (D, anti-codon, and T loops). Lineage: Bacteria; Pseudomonadati; Pseudomonadota; Alphaproteobacteria; Rickettsiales. The record is from RNAcentral.
UGGACGAUAUCCUAAUGGUAAGGAGACUCACUGUAAAUGAGUUUGUUAACGCAGUUGGUGGUUCGAUUCCUCCUCGUCCAA